GGCUCAGAUUGAACGCUGGCGGCAGGCUUAACACCUGCAAGUCGAGCGGAGAUGAGGUGCUUGCACCUUAUCUUAGCGGCGGACGGGUGAGUAAUGCUUAGGAAUCUGCCUAUUAGUGGGGGACAACAUUCCGAAAGGAAUGCUAAUACCGCAUACGCCCUACGGGGGAAAGCAGGGGAUCUUCGGACCUUGCGCUAAUAGAUGAGCCUAAGUCGGAUUAGCUAGUUGGUGGGGUAAAGGCCUACCAAGGCGACGAUCUGUAGCGGGUCUGAGAGGAUGAUCCGCCACACUGGGACUGAGACACGGCCCAGACUCCUACGGGAGGCAGCAGUGGGGAAUAUUGGACAAUGGGCGGAAGCCUGAUCCAGCCAUGCCGCGUGUGUGAAGAAGGCCUUUUGGUUGUAAAGCACUUUAAGCGAGGAGGAGGCUACUUAGAUUAAUACUCUAGGAUAGUGGACGUUACUCGCAGAAUAAGCACCGGCUAACUCUGUGCCAGCAGCCGCGGUAAUACAGAGGGUGCGAGCGUUAAUCGGAUUUACUGGGCGUAAAGCGUGCGUAGGCGGCUGAUUAAGUCGGAUGUGAAAUCCCUGAGCUUAACUUAGGAAUUGCAUUCGAUACUGGUCAGCUAGAGUAUGGGAGAGGAUGGUAGAAUUCCAGGUGUAGCGGUGAAAUGCGUAGAGAUCUGGAGGAAUACCGAUGGCGAAGGCAGCCAUCUGGCCUAAUACUGACGCUGAGGUACGAAAGCAUGGGGAGCAAACAGGAUUAGAUACCCUGGUAGUCCAUGCCGUAAACGAUGUCUACUAGCCGUUGGGGCCUUUGAGGCUUUAGUGGCGCAGCUAACGCGAUAAGUAGACCGCCUGGGGAGUACGGUCGCAAGACUAAAACUCAAAUGAAUUGACGGGGGCCCGCACAAGCGGUGGAGCAUGUGGUUUAAUUCGAUGCAACGCGAAGAACCUUACCUGGCCUUGACAUAGUAAGAACUUUCCAGAGAUGGAUUGGUGCCUUCGGGAACUUACAUACAGGUGCUGCAUGGCUGUCGUCAGCUCGUGUCCUGAGAUGUUGGGUUAAGUCCCGCAACGAGCGCAACCCUUUUCCUUAUUUGCCAGCGAGUAAUGUCGGGAACUUUAAGGAUACUGCCAGUGACAAACUGGAGGAAGGCGGGGACGACGUCAAGUCAUCAUGGCCCUUACGGCCAGGGCUACACACGUGCUACAAUGGUCGGUACAAAGGGUUGCUACCUAGCGAUAGGAUGCUAAUCUCAAAAAGCCGAUCGUAGUCCGGAUUGGAGUCUGCAACUCGACUCCAUGAAGUCGGAAUCGCUAGUAAUCGCGGAUCAGAAUGCCGCGGUGAAUACGUUCCCGGGCCUUGUACACACCGCCCGUCACACCAUGGGAGUUUGUUGCACCAGAAGUAGGUAGUCUAACCGCAAGGAGGACGCUAC
This 1441-nucleotide ribosomal RNA is filed under the name Acinetobacter tjernbergiae. RNAcentral describes it as "bacterial SSU rRNA". It matches the Rfam family "Bacterial small subunit ribosomal RNA". The record is from RNAcentral. Lineage: Bacteria; Pseudomonadati; Pseudomonadota; Gammaproteobacteria; Moraxellales; Moraxellaceae.